RNAcentral lists this ribosomal RNA (250 nucleotides) under uncultured bacterium. RNAcentral's name for it is "partial 16S ribosomal RNA". It matches the Rfam family "Bacterial small subunit ribosomal RNA", at positions 524 to 773 of the family's 1533-position model. The record is from RNAcentral.
GACAGAGGGUGCAAACGUUGUUCGGAAUUACUGGGCGUAAAGCGCGUGUAGGCGGCUUGGCAAGUCGGGUGUGAAAGCCCCGGGCUCAACCUGGGAAGUGCACUCGAAACUGCCUCGCUUGAGUGUCGGAGAGGGAAGCGGAAUUCUCGGUGUAGAGGUGAAAUUCGUAGAUAUCGAGAGGAACACCGGUGGCGAAGGCGGCUUCCUGGACGACGACUGACGCUGAGACGCGAAAGCGUGGGGAGCAAAC